This is a long non-coding RNA of Cololabis saira (Pacific saury), 586 nucleotides long. RefSeq lists it as uncharacterized. The record is from RefSeq and is a predicted model, not a curated record. The transcript has 3 exons. NCBI's taxonomy places the organism in Eukaryota, Metazoa, Chordata, Actinopteri, Beloniformes, Belonidae.
GAUGGUUUUAGGACCCUGGGGAGCCUUUAAAGGGAGAGCAGAAGCAGCGCUCUCUCUCUCUCACCUGCAGAAGUGCAGACACUCAGCAGAAGGCACACCAAACAUUUGUUGUGAAAAGCAGCGGCAGCAGUUGGGGCAGAUUCAGUGUGGACAUUGUGUGAGGUUUGAUGAUUUAUCUGUCUCUGACAAAAGAAUAACUGCUGGUCCGGGUGCUAGUUAAAAACAACUUUAAAGGGCGACAACCUAUUAACUGCUGGUCGGGGUUUAGUAAAGCUACUUGAAGGUACAGCAUGUUGAAUGGUGUAUUUUAUUUAAGUAUUGUAUCUUAACCUGUGGAACAAAACUUAACACUCAUGUCUGUGUUCAUAGGACUGUCUGCGAGAGAAGUGACUGUCACUGUUUUUUUUCCCUCCUAAUACUUAGUUUCAUUUGGGCCUUCUUGUUUUCUUUUAUUUGUUUUGGUUGUUAUUUUAGUUGGGCUAAGUGCAAUAUUUACCAGGCGCCAGACAGCGCCUUAGUGGCCACCGGUUUGGGGGAAGCUAUCGCAUUAACAUUUAGUGAUCCCUUUUGUUUUGUGUGCUUAUAU